AUGGCCGUGCAGGUUCGCUGCAGCUUUGUUCUGCUCAGCAAGGGCCGCUCCACGUGCAAGGCGCAGGCGCGGUCCCCAUGGCGUCUCCCACAGGAGUACGGGAUUGGCAAUGGUCCUGACCUGUGUCCUGGACACAAGCUGAUUUCCUCAAUUGUUCUGUGGUGGAGUGUGGAACUGAACAUGAGGCAGUCCUGCAAUGGAGCCCCUGCACAGAGCAACCUGCGUCACCUCUCCUGUGACACCCAGAUAUCAGAGCACAAGAUGCACCUGAACUGGAGCUUCUUCUUCUGGGUGGCCGCAGCUGCAGGUGUCCACUCCCAGAUCAAGCUGGAGCAGCCUGGGGCUGAAGUGAGGAUGUCUGAAGACUCGGCCAGGCUGGCCUGCAGGGCCUCUGGAUACACCUUCACCAGCUAUUUUAUGCACUGGGUGAGGCAGAAGGCAGGACAGGGGCUUGACUGGAUUGGAUGGGUUGAGCCUACUGAUGGUGAGACCACGUACACUCAGAAGUUCAAGGGCAAGGUCUCCCUGACUGCAAACACCUCCUCCAGCACAGCCUCCAUGGAGCUGAGCAGGCUGACAGCUGAGGACUCGGCCGGGUACUACUGUGUGAGGCAUAGUGUGCACACCCACAUCCUGAGUGUGUCAGAAACCUGA
Non-coding RNA from Dipodomys spectabilis (banner-tailed kangaroo rat), 654 nucleotides. The record is from the annotation of a RefSeq genome assembly. NCBI's taxonomy places the organism in Eukaryota, Metazoa, Chordata, Mammalia, Rodentia, Heteromyidae.